Molecule: ribosomal RNA, 382 nt
Filed under: uncultured soil bacterium
Lineage: Bacteria
Description: bacterial SSU rRNA
Rfam family: Bacterial small subunit ribosomal RNA
Source: RNAcentral
AGGAUGAACGCUGGCGGCGUGCUUAACACAUGCAAGUCGAACGAUGAACCCCGCUUGCGGGGGGAUUAGUGGCGAACGGGUGAGUAACACGUGAGUAACCUGCCCUUAACUCUGGGAUAAGCCUUGGAAACGAGGUCUAAUACUGGAUAUUGACUUUACCUCGCAGUGGGGUUUUGUUGAAAGUAUUUAUUGGUUUUGGAUGGACUCGCGGCCUAUCAGCUUGUUGGUGAGGUAAUGGCUCACCAAGGCGACGACGGGUAGCCGGCCUGAGAGGGUGACCGGCCACACUGGGACUGAGACACGGCCCAGACCUCCGUACGGGAGGCAGCGAGGUAGGGAAUAUUGACUACAAGUGGGACGAAAGCCUGAUGCAGCGACGCCG